CAUAGGUGGCCAACGAAGCCCAAGUGGUUGGAGGAUCUAGAUGUAUAAAGCAGACAGUGCAACGUGGACGUUUUGUCCUUUGAUUCUUCACAUUUGAAUUUCUUUUAAACUGUCUUUCCUUGUCGAAAUGUUCCCAUUCAUUUUCAUUUGUCAAGAAAAGAAGUUAAUUUUUCCCAGAUAGCCAGCCAUCAUGGGAAUGUUCCACCUCCUACUCACUCUGAUGAUUACGGCUACUCUGAUCCAGAUAGCCGACGCUCAAGGCAGUUUUUGCGAAUUUUUUAACAGGAUCCUCACGAAUAUUGGAUGCACUGGCUCACCCAACGAUAGGCCGAUCUGCAUUGUGUUGUUAUUCUUCUAUCAAAUCCUCUGCAGUACCUCUUGAGCAUAUGAGAGAAUAAAAGCAUCGUGUACACGAGUGUGUCACAUUGGCAUCGGGUGUGGUACUAAGGAGUGUCAACAAUUUGACACCCAGAGAAGUAACUUGAUUUCAAGGAACAGUUUAUCUUUUUCCCCCACGUUGACAUACCCAUCAAAGACAAUCGAAAAUGGGGGUUUUUUUCACAAGCGACAGAAAAGGAAUCAAUAAAUAAUACUCCUGCGA
Long non-coding RNA from Aplysia californica (California sea hare), 601 nucleotides. RefSeq lists it as uncharacterized. The record is from RefSeq and is a predicted model, not a curated record. The transcript is spliced from 4 exons. NCBI's taxonomy places the organism in Eukaryota, Metazoa, Mollusca, Gastropoda, Aplysiida, Aplysiidae.